UGGCUCAGAAUGAACGCUGGCGGCAUGGAUUAGGCAUGCAAGUCGAACGUACUCCCUUCGGGGAGAAAGUGGCGAAAGGGUGAGUAACACGUGAGCAACCUGCCUCCGGAUCCGGAAUAAUCCAGGGAAACUUGGUCUAAAACCGGAUGAAGACAUUGGGCCGCAUGGUCUGGUGUUAAAAUAUUUAUAGUCCGGAGAGGGGCUCGCGGCCCAUUAGCUUGUUGGCGGGGUAAUGGCCCACCAAGGCUACGACGGGUAGGUGGUCUGAGAGGAUGGUCACCCACACUGGGACUGAGACACUGCCCAGACUCCUACGGGAGGCUGCAGUCGAGAAUCUUCCGCAAUGGGCGCAAAGCCUGACGGAGCGAUGCCGCGUGAGGGAUGAAGGCCUUCGGGUUGUAAACCUCUGUCAUCCGGGACGAAAACAAUGACGGUACCGGAAAAGGAAGCCACGGCUAACCACGUGCCAGCCGCCGC
RNAcentral lists this ribosomal RNA (477 nucleotides) under uncultured bacterium. Its description in RNAcentral is "bacterial SSU rRNA". It matches the Rfam family "Bacterial small subunit ribosomal RNA", at positions 20 to 518 of the family's 1533-position model. The record is from RNAcentral.